This 547-nucleotide long non-coding RNA is filed under the name Salvia miltiorrhiza (redroot sage). RNAcentral's name for it is "long non-coding RNA (SMIL_LNC010297)". The record is from RNAcentral. Lineage: Eukaryota; Viridiplantae; Streptophyta; Magnoliopsida; Lamiales; Lamiaceae.
GUAUUUCUUAGUAAGGGUGCUAGUUCAGUUUCGAGGGUGUUCCCUUUUGUGUUUGCCUUAUGAAGUUCAAGCUUGCUGAGCUAAUUGAACUAGGUUGGUUAUGCCAUUUUCCUCAAAUGUUGCAUUUCUAAAUAGUCUGAACGUGUAGCUGAGAUAGAAAAUAGGUUGAGAAUGUGUUGGCUGGCUGUUGCUGCAGUAUUAAGGAUUGAAAACUUAAAUAGAGUAAUGGAUGUUGUUGCCUUGAUUAAUGCAGGUUGAACAAUGGAAGAAGAUGGGAGAAUUAAAGCCUCCGGUGAAUUCCAUAGUGAAAAAUGGGAGUGAAAGUAGUAUACUACUAUUUGUUGGCUGAAUUGUAGGAUAAGAGAAAAGGAUUGUUAGGCUUGGCAGCACAAGGUAUGGGGCUGGAUUGGACUGCUCCAGCUACAUGGAGGGAAGGUACAGUGGGAAUAGAGCUGGUGUUGCAGCCAUCACGCACCUUCUUUUUCUUUUUCUUUCUUUUCCUUGCUAGCUGAUGUUGUGGUAUCUCUGGCUUUGUUAUUUAAUCGUG